ACUUUCUUGUCAGCCCAUAAGUCCUGCUUGCUCUAAUAUUUGUGUACGGCUAAUUAUGUGUACCCUAGUUGGUCCUAGAACGGCCUAAGGUAAAGGGGUUUUAGUCGGAAGGUUUGAGGACUUCUUCCUCGCGAAUCCGACACUACCCAGUCGUACAGACGGCUGGGUGUCUUUUGAAGAUUUCCCCUCUUUCACAAAA
Agrilus planipennis (emerald ash borer) is the source of this 199-nucleotide non-coding RNA. NCBI's taxonomy places the organism in Eukaryota, Metazoa, Arthropoda, Insecta, Coleoptera, Buprestidae. The record is from Rfam.